Molecule: small RNA, 78 nt
Filed under: Coprococcus sp. CAG:782
Lineage: Bacteria; Bacillati; Bacillota; Clostridia; Lachnospirales; Lachnospiraceae
Description: GA-cis RNA
Rfam family: GA-cis RNA
Source: Rfam by way of RNAcentral
CAGAGGAAGCACCAGGUGUUGAAGACACAUUUAAAAUGGUGCUGACGAAAUGCCGUUACCAAACAGGCAAUUUUAAUA